Long non-coding RNA from Cervus elaphus (red deer), 1215 nucleotides. RefSeq lists it as uncharacterized. NCBI's taxonomy places the organism in Eukaryota, Metazoa, Chordata, Mammalia, Artiodactyla, Cervidae. The transcript is spliced from 3 exons. The record is from RefSeq and is a predicted model, not a curated record.
UAGAAUGGGAGGUGCUUGGUGUGUCUCUGCCUUCUGCUCUGGGUCUCAGUCACCGAUUCUGAGACAAGAGAAUCACUAUCAUCAACACCCCACGGUGUGCGAGAUGAGGGGUCCGUAUCAUCCACUCUAAUCAUACCUCAAAGAGUUAAGCGCCGGGAACCUUACUCCAUGACCUGUGGUGAUCUAAAUGGGAAGGACAUCUAAAGAAGAGUGGAUACAUGUAUGUGUAAACACGACUCACGUUGCUGUAUGCCUGAGACUAACACAACAUUGUAAAGGAACUACACUCCAACAAAAGUUAAUUAAAAGGAAGAAGAUCUUAGUUCCUCAGCAAGGGAUCAUCGAACUUGUGCCCCUGCAGUGGUAGCAUGGAGUCUUAACCACUGGACCACCAAGGAUGUUCCUGGGCUUCCAUUUUGGAGGCUUCUGCAAUGACUUCAGUUUCAGCAUUGACAUAUCCCUUCCAUGGCCACAGACCCCAAGGAGUUGCCCUUCCACCUGCCCAGGUGACAAUAGUGUGUGAUUUCAAAAUUCAUGGUUUCCUAUGGCCCUCACUCAACAAGGAAAGUGUACCCUCUUCUCACCAGAGGUACUUUUCUUUGAUUCCUUCUUUCAGCUUCUCAUACCUUCUGAGCUCAGAUCAAGCUUGAGACAAGUUACCCAGCAUCUAGACUGAAAGGACAUGAGUUUGAGCAAACUCCGGGACAUAGUGAAGGACAAGGAAGCCUGGCAUGCUGCAGUCCAUGUGGUUGCAGAGUUGGACAUGACUUAGCGACUAAAGAACAACAAGAUUGAAAGGAAACAGUAUACUCAUAAAACUACAUCCCAAAUAGUUUAUUCUUGGUAACCAUUGGCUGAGGCUACAUUCUGGCUCUCACUUUGAAGUGGGGGUAAUAUUCAAAAUGCAUACUUAAUGACCAGUUGUCUUGGCACCAUGAUGGAAUGGGUAACUGACUAAUUGUUAGGUCAAACCAGUGCACAUAGGCUGAAUAUCAGAUUGGACAGGAGUUCCAAACAGGCAGGCCUCCGGGCCAUGUUGCCAGUGGAUGAGUUUUAUUAGGUAUGCAGCAUGGUUUUGUAUUGUUUCUGAGCCUUUAGGCCAUUAGAACACAUGUCCUCUUGCAUUUCCAGCCACGAAAUUAAAAGACACUUGUUCCUUGGAAGAUAAGUUAUGACUAACCUAGACAGCAUAUUAAAAAGCAGAGACAUUAUUUU